RNAcentral lists this ribosomal RNA (2463 nucleotides) under human gut metagenome. Its description in RNAcentral is "bacterial LSU rRNA". It matches the Rfam family "Bacterial large subunit ribosomal RNA", at positions 14 to 2497 of the family's 2925-position model. The record is from RNAcentral.
AGGGCGCAUGGCGGAUGCCUUGGCUCUCGGAGGCGAUGAAGGACGUGAUAAGCUGCGAUAAGCUUUGGGGAGGUGCAAAUGACCUUUGAUCCAGAGAUUUCCGAAUGGGACAACCCAAUAUCUUGAAGAGGUAUUAUCCAACGUUGUUGGAGGCUAACGCAGGGAACUGAAACAUCUUAGUACCUGCAGGAAAAGAAAAUAAACAAUGAUUCCCCCAGUAGUGGCGAGCGAACGGGGAACAGCCCAAACCAUCCAUGUUACGGCAUGGGUGGGGUUGUAGGACUACGCCGUUGCAUGAAGACAUCAGAGAAGAACUUUCUGGAAAGAAAGACCAUAGAGCAUGACAGUUGCGUAUUCGAAUGUUGUCGAAGCAUAGUAGUAUCCUGAGUAGCGCGGAGCACGAGGAAUUCUGCGUGAAUCUGCCGGGACCAUCCGGUAAGGCUAAAUACUCCCGAGAGACCGAUAGCGAACCAGUACCGUGAGGGAAAGGUGAAAAGCACUUCGAACAGAAGAGUGAAAUAGUUCCUGAAACCGUGCGCCUACAAGCGGUCGGAGCUCGUUAAUGAGUGACGGCGUGCCUUUUGCAUAAUGAACCUACGAGUUGCCUUUGCCGGCAAGGUUAAGUGUGACGACACACGUAUCCGAAGCGAAAGCGAGUCUGAACAGGGCGUAUAGUCGGCAGUGGCAGACGCGAAACCAAGUGAUCUACCCUUGGCCAGGUUGAAGGCUGGGUAACACCAGCUGGAGGACCGCACCAAUAAGCGUUGAAAAGCUUCUGGAUGAGCUGAGGGUAGGGGUGAAAGGCUAAUCAAACUUGGAGAUAGCUCGUACUCCCCGAAAUGCAUUUAGGUGCAGCCUUGCGGGUUACUGAUGUGAGGUAGAGCGACUGAUAAGAUGCGAGGGCUUCACCGCCUAUCAAGUCUUGACAAACUCCGAAUGCGCAUCAGUUCUACCGCAGGAGUGAGGGCAUGGGUGCUAAGGUCCGUGCCCGAGAGGAGAAGAAUCCGGACCACCUGCUAAGGUCCCGAAAUGACAGCUAAGUUAAACUAACGAAGUCUGACUGCUAAGACAGCUAGGAUGUUGGCUUGGAAGCAGCCAUUCAUUUAAAGAGUGCGUAACAGCUCACUAGUCGAGGAGUCGGGCGUGGAUAAUAAUCGGGUAUUAAGUUGUCUACCGAAGCAGUGGGAUCAUUAAUAUGAUCGGUAGGGGAGCAUUCCAGUCAGCGUCGAAGGCGUACCGUGAGGUAUUCUGGAGCGUCUGGAAAAGCAAAUGUAGGUAUAAGUAACGAUAAAGGGGGCGGGAAACCCCCUCGCCGAAAGACUAAGGUUUCCUGAUCAACGCUAAUCGGAUCAGGGUCAGUCGGGUCCUAAGGCUCAGCCGAACGGCGAUGCCGAUGGCAGAAACGGUUAAUAUUCCGUUACUACCUUCAGGAGUGACGUGGAGACGCAGUAGUGACAGUGCCGCCAUCUGACGGAAUAGAUGGUUGAAGGGUGUAGGAGUCGAUCAUGGCAGGCAAAUCCACCAUGAGAUCCGAACCUGAUAGUAUGCCGCGUCCUUCGGGACAAGGCAAUAGUGCGCGUAAGCAUGCUGCCGAGAAAAUCCGCUAAACUUAAUCCUGCAGGUACCCGUACCGCAAACGGACACACGUAGUCGGGAUGAAUAUUCUAAGGCGCUUGAGUGAUUCACGGUUAAGGAACUAGGCAAACUGACCCUGUAACUUCGGGAUAAAGGGUCCCUACCCUUUUAUGGGAGGGCGCAGAGAAUCGGUCCAGGCAACUGUUUAACAAAAACACAGGGCUGUGCGAAGUCGAAAGACGCUGUAUACAGCCUGACACCUGCCCGGUGCUGGAAGGUUAAGAGGAGAUGUCAUCGCAAGAGAAGCAUUGAAUUGAAGCCCCAGUAAACGGCGGCCGUAACUAUAACGGUCCUAAGGUAGCGAAAUUCCUUGUCGGGUAAGUUCCGACCUGCACGAAUGGUGUAAUGAUCUGGACGCUGUCUCAACCGUGAGCUCAGUGAAAUUGUAGUAUCGGUGAAGAUGCCGAUUACCCGCGAUGGGACGAAAAGACCCCGUGAACCUUUACUAUAGCUUAUCAUUGAAUCUGGGCACGUGAUGUGUAGGAUAGGUCGGAGGCUUUGAAGCAGGUACGCCAGUAUUUGUGGAGCCGCUGUUGAAAUACGACCCUUUAUUUGUUUGGAUUCUAACCCGUGGAACGGGGACAUUGAUUGGUGGGUAGUUUGACUGGGGUGGUCGCCUCCAAAAGCGUAACGGAGGCUUCUAAAGGUGCCCUCCGGCCGAUUGGUAACCGGCCUUAGAGUGUAAUGGCAUAAGGGCGCUUGACUGGGAGACUGACAAGUCGAUCAGGUAGGAAACUAGAGCAUAGUGAUCCGGUGUUUCCGUAUGGAAGGGACAUCGCUCAAAGGAUAAAAGGUACUCCGGGGAUAACAGGCUGAUCCCUCCCAAGA